GCCGAAGUGGCGGAACUGGUAGACGCGCCGGACUCAAAAUCCGGUGGGGCGCAAGCUCCGUGUGGCUUCGACUCCCACCGUCGGCA
This 86-nucleotide transfer RNA is filed under the name Actinomycetes bacterium. Its description in RNAcentral is "Actinobacteria bacterium tRNA-Leu". It matches the Rfam family "tRNA". Rfam says of the family: Transfer RNA (tRNA) molecules are approximately 80 nucleotides in length. Their secondary structure includes four short double-helical elements and three loops (D, anti-codon, and T loops). Lineage: Bacteria; Bacillati; Actinomycetota; Actinomycetes. The record is from RNAcentral. RNAcentral also lists the same sequence under 1 other name.